RNAcentral lists this ribosomal RNA (1517 nucleotides) under metagenome. RNAcentral's name for it is "bacterial LSU rRNA". It matches the Rfam family "Bacterial large subunit ribosomal RNA", at positions 1411 to 2925 of the family's 2925-position model. The record is from RNAcentral.
GUAGGCGAUGGACAACAGGUUGAUAUUCCUGUACCACCUCCUCACCAUUUGAGCAAUGGGGGGACGCAGGAGGAUAGGGUAAGCGCGGUAUUGGAUAUCCGCGUCCAAGCAGUUAGGCUGGGAAAUAGGCAAAUCCGUUUCCCAUAAGGCUGAGCUGUGAUGGCGAGCGAAAUAUAGUAGCGAAGUUCCUGAUUCCACACUGCCAAGAAAAGCCUCUAGCGAGGUGAGAGGUGCCCGUACCGCAAACCGACACAGGUAGGCGAGGAGAGAAUCCUAAGGUGAUCGAGAGAACUCUCGUUAAGGAACUCGGCAAAAUGACCCCGUAACUUCGGGAGAAGGGGUGCUCUGUUAGGGUGCAAGCCCGAGAGAGCCGCAGUGAAUAGGCCCAGGCGACUGUUUAGCAAAAACACAGGUCUCUGCGAAGCCGUAAGGCGAAGUAUAGGGGCUGACGCCUGCCCGGUGCUGGAAGGUUAAGAGGAGCGCUUAGCGUAAGCGAAGGUGCGAAUUGAAGCCCCAGUAAACGGCGGCCGUAACGAUAACGGUCCUAAGGUAGCGAAAUUCCUUGUCGGGUAAGUUCCGACCCGCACGAAAGGCGCAACGAUCUGGGCACUGUCUCAACGAGAGACUCGGUGAAAUUAUAGUACCUGUGAAGAUGCAGGUUACCCGCGACAGGACGGAAAGACCCCGUGGAGCUUUACUGCAGCCUGAUAUUGAAUGUUGGUACAGCUUGUACAGGAUAGGUAGGAGCCUUGGAAACCGGAGCGCCAGCUUCGGUGGAGGCAUCGGUGGGAUACUACCCUGGCUGUAUUGACCUUCUAACCCGCCGCCCUUAUCGGGCGGGGAGACAGUGUCAGGUGGGCAGUUUGACUGGGGCGGUCGCCUCCUAAAAGGUAACGGAGGCGCCCAAAGGUUCCCUCAGAAUGGUUGGAAAUCAUUCGCAGAGUGUAAAGGCACAAGGGAGCUUGACUGCGAGACCUACAAGUCGAGCAGGGACGAAAGUCGGGCUUAGUGAUCCGGUGUUUCCGCAUGGAAGGGCCAUCGCUCAACGGAUAAAAGCUACCCCGGGGAUAACAGGCUUAUCUCCCCCAAGAGUCCACAUCGACGGGGAGGUUUGGCACCUCGAUGUCGGCUCAUCGCAUCCUGGGGCUGUAGUCGGUCCCAAGGGUUGGGCUGUUCGCCCAUUAAAGCGGUACGCGAGCUGGGUUCAGAACGUCGUGAGACAGUUCGGUCCCUAUCCGUCGCGGGCGCAGGAAAUUUGAGAGGAGCUGUCCUUAGUACGAGAGGACCGGGAUGGACGCACCGCUGGUGUACCAGUUGUUCUGCCAAGGGCAUCGCUGGGUAGCUAUGUGCGGACGGGAUAAGUGCUGAAAGCAUCUAAGCAUGAAGCCCCCCUCAAGAUGAGAUUUCCCAUUCCGCAAGGAAGUAAGAUCCCUGAAAGAUGAUCAGGUUGAUAGGUCUGAGGUGGAAGUGUGGCGACACAUGGAGCUGACAGAUACUAAUCGAUCGAGGACUUAACC